UACGGAGGGGGCUAGCGUUGUUCGGAAUUACUGGGCGUAAAGCGCGCGUAGGCGGACCUGCAAGUCGGGGGUGAAAGCCCGAGGCUCAACCUCGGAACUGCCUUCGAUACUGCGGGUCUCGAGUCCGGGAGAGGUGAGUGGAAUGCCUAGUGUAGAGGUGAAAUUCGUAGAUAUUAGGAAGAACACCAGUGGCGAAGGCGGCUCACUGGCCCGGUACUGACGCUGAGGCGCGAAAGCGUGGGGAGCAAACAGG
Molecule: ribosomal RNA, 253 nt
Filed under: uncultured bacterium
Lineage: Bacteria
Description: partial 16S ribosomal RNA
Rfam family: Bacterial small subunit ribosomal RNA
Source: RNAcentral